AACUGGGUAGCUCAGUUGGUUAGAGCGCGGGACUCAUAAGCCCGAGGUCGUGGGUUCGACCCCCACCCCCGCUACCA
RNAcentral lists this transfer RNA (77 nucleotides) under Candidatus Peregrinibacteria bacterium RIFOXYA12_FULL_33_12. Its description in RNAcentral is "tRNA-Met". It matches the Rfam family "tRNA". Rfam says of the family: Transfer RNA (tRNA) molecules are approximately 80 nucleotides in length. Their secondary structure includes four short double-helical elements and three loops (D, anti-codon, and T loops). Further hydrogen bonds mediate the characteristic L-shaped molecular structure. tRNAs have two regions of fundamental functional importance: the anti-codon, which is responsible for specific mRNA codon recognition, and the 3' end, to which the tRNAs corresponding amino acid is attached (by aminoacyl-tRNA synthetases). tRNAs cope with the degeneracy of the genetic code in two manners: having more than one tRNA (with a specific anti-codon) for a particular amino acid; and 'wobble' base-pairing, i.e. permitting non-standard base-pairing at the 3rd anti-codon position. The record is from RNAcentral. Lineage: Bacteria; Candidatus Peregrinibacteriota.